This 350-nucleotide ribosomal RNA is filed under the name uncultured bacterium. RNAcentral describes it as "bacterial SSU rRNA". It matches the Rfam family "Bacterial small subunit ribosomal RNA", at positions 8 to 350 of the family's 1533-position model. The record is from RNAcentral.
AGAGUUUGAUCCUGGCUCAGGAUGAACGCUAGCUACAGGCUUAACACAUGCAAGUCGAGGGGCAGCAUGUUGGUUGCUUGCAACCAAUGAUGGCGACCGGCGCACGGGUGAGUAACGCGUAUCCAACCUACCCUUGUCCAUCGGAUAACCCGUCGAAAGGCGGCCUAACACGAUAUGCGGUUCUCAGCAGGCAUCUAACGAGAACGAAUAGUGAAGGAGAAGGAUGGGGAUGCGUCUGAUUAGCUUGUUGGCGGGUAACGGCCCACCAAGGCGACGAUCGAGUAGGGGUUCUGGAGAGGAAGGUCCCCCAGAUUGGAACUGAGACACGGUCCAAACUCCUACGGGAGGCA